This is a long non-coding RNA of Elaeis guineensis (African oil palm), 571 nucleotides long. RefSeq lists it as uncharacterized. The record is from RefSeq and is a predicted model, not a curated record. Lineage: Eukaryota; Viridiplantae; Streptophyta; Magnoliopsida; Arecales; Arecaceae.
AAUAUCAGAGCAUGACAUCCCCCCCCCCACCCUUCGUGAAGCCGCUCGAAGGAGAAGCGAAAGGGAGAAGCCCAGCGAGUAGAUCGGCGAAGAGAUGAGGGCCAAGUGGAAGAAGAAGCGAAUGAGGAGACUCAAGAGGAAGCGCCGAAAGAUGAGGCAGAGAUCCAAGUAGGUGAUGAAGGUAUUUGCUUCCCUGAUUCCACGUCUCACAGAAUGUGGUGGUGUCUCUCCUGGUUCAUCCACCUCAUGUUGAGAGUGUGUUAUAGGAGGCAAAGCUAUCUUUUGCCCCUUGAUUGCUUGUUUGGCAGUUGUAGAACUAGGAUAUUUUGCUUAGCAGAUUAACAUUUGUGUUUUGUUUGAUAAUUGAGAAUUUGUUUAAGGCAUUUCAUCUGGAAACAAUUCAAUGAUUUCUAGUUUCCAUCAAGCUUUGUUUGGAAAUGGUUGUGCGCUGAGUGAAUGUGUAUAUGCUAUUUCUUAGCAGUAUUUCACCCAGUUUUUUCUUUAUAGGCCAUGUUUCUGAGACUGUGUUUAAUGUGAAACAAGGAUGAGCAUGUUAAAUAUUAAGAUCUGA